ACGAACGCUGGCGGCGUGCUUAACACAUGCAAGUCGAACGGAAAGGCCCUGCUUUUGUGGGGUGCUCGAGUGGCGAACGGGUGAGUAACACGUGAGUAACCUGCCCUUGACUUUUGGAUAACUUCAGGAAACUGGGGCUAAUACCGGACAGGAGCUCCUCCGGCACCGUUGGGGUUGGAAAGUUUCGGCGUGUGGCGAUGGACUCGCGGCUUAUCAUCUUGUUGGUGGGGUAGUGGCUUACCAAGGCAUUGACGGGUAGCCGGCCUGAGAGGGUGACCGGCCACAUUGGGACUGAGAUACGGCCCAGACUCCUACGGGAGGCAGCAGUGUGGGAUAUUGCACAAUGGGCGGAAGCCUGAUGCAGCAACGCUGCGUGCGGGAUGACGGCCUUCGGGUUGUAAACCGCUUUCGCCUGUGACGAAGCGUGAGUGACGGUAAUGGGUAAAGAAGCACCGGCUAACUACGUG
RNAcentral lists this ribosomal RNA (467 nucleotides) under uncultured bacterium. RNAcentral describes it as "partial 16S ribosomal RNA". It matches the Rfam family "Bacterial small subunit ribosomal RNA", at positions 29 to 507 of the family's 1533-position model. The record is from RNAcentral.